Molecule: ribosomal RNA, 253 nt
Filed under: uncultured bacterium
Lineage: Bacteria
Description: partial 16S ribosomal RNA
Rfam family: Bacterial small subunit ribosomal RNA
Source: RNAcentral
UACGUAGGGGGCUAGCGUUGUCCGGAAUCAUUGGGCGUAAAGCGCGUGUAGGCGGUUCGGUAAGUCCGCUGUGAAAGUCGGGGGCUCAACCCUCGAAUGCCGGUGGAUACUGUCGGGCUCGAGUGCGGAAGAGGCGAGUGGAAUUCCUGGUGUAGCGGUGAAAUGCGCAGAUAUCAGGAGGAACACCGAUUGCGAAGGCAGCUCGCUGGGACGUUACUGACGCUGAGACGCGAAAGCGUGGGGAGCAAACAGG